CGAACGAGAAGCUUCUUCGGAAGUGAUUAAAGUGGCGCACGGGUGAGUAACGCGUAGACAAUCUGCCCUUCAGUCUGGGACAACUUUUCGAAAGGAGAGCUAAUACCGGAUAACAAUGCAUGACACAAGUCAUAUAUUUGAAAGCUUUAUGUGCUGAAGGAGGGGUCUGCGUCCCAUUAGCUGGUUGGUGAGGUAAAGGCUCACCAAGGCAACGAUGGGUAGCGGGUUUGAGAGGACGAUCCGCCACACUGGAACUGAGACACGGUCCAGACUCCUACGGGAGGCAGCAGUGGGGAAUAUUGCACAAUGGAGGAAACUCUGAUGCAGCAAUGCCGCGUGAGUGAAGAAGGCCCUUGGGUCGUAAAGCUCUUUUAUGAGGGAAGAUGAUGACGGUACCUCAGGAAUAAGCACCGGCUAACUACGUGCCAGCAGCCGCGGUAAUACGUAGGGUGCGAGCGUUGUUCGGAGUUACUGGGCGUAAAGGGCGCGCA
This 491-nucleotide ribosomal RNA is filed under the name uncultured bacterium. Its description in RNAcentral is "bacterial SSU rRNA". It matches the Rfam family "Bacterial small subunit ribosomal RNA", at positions 63 to 573 of the family's 1533-position model. The record is from RNAcentral.